UACGAAGGGGGCUAGCGUUGCUCGGAAUCACUGGGCGUAAAGCGCACGUAGGCGGAUUGCUAAGUCAGGGGUGAAAUCCUGGAGCUCAACUCCAGAACUGCCUUUGAUACUGGCGAUCUUGAGUCCGGGAGAGGUGAGUGGAACUGCGAGUGUAGAGGUGAAAUUCGUAGAUAUUGGCUGGAACACCGGUGGCGAAAGCGGCUCUCUGGCCCGGUUCUGACGCUGAGGCGCGAAAGCGUGGGGAGCAAACAGG
This 253-nucleotide ribosomal RNA is filed under the name uncultured bacterium. Its description in RNAcentral is "partial 16S ribosomal RNA". It matches the Rfam family "Bacterial small subunit ribosomal RNA", at positions 524 to 776 of the family's 1533-position model. The record is from RNAcentral.